RNAcentral lists this transfer RNA (76 nucleotides) under Kyrpidia spormannii. RNAcentral describes it as "tRNA-Thr". It matches the Rfam family "tRNA". Rfam says of the family: Transfer RNA (tRNA) molecules are approximately 80 nucleotides in length. Their secondary structure includes four short double-helical elements and three loops (D, anti-codon, and T loops). The record is from RNAcentral. Lineage: Bacteria; Bacillati; Bacillota; Bacilli; Caryophanales; Alicyclobacillaceae.
GCCACCUUAGCUCAGUUGGUAGAGCACUUCACUCGUAAUGAAGGGGUCGGCGGUUCGAGUCCGCCAGGUGGCUCCA